RNAcentral lists this ribosomal RNA (466 nucleotides) under uncultured Anaerolineaceae bacterium. RNAcentral's name for it is "bacterial SSU rRNA". It matches the Rfam family "Bacterial small subunit ribosomal RNA", at positions 902 to 1382 of the family's 1533-position model. Lineage: Bacteria; Bacillati; Chloroflexota; Anaerolineae; Anaerolineales; Anaerolineaceae. The record is from RNAcentral.
CAAAUGAAUUGACGGGGACCCGCACAAGCAGCGGAGCGUGUGGUUAAUUCGAUGCUACACGAAGAACCUUACCAAGGUUUGACAUGCAAGUGGUAGUGAUCUGAAAAGUGAACGACCCUUCGGGGAGCUUGCACAGGUGCUGCAUGGCUGUCGUCAGCUCGUGUCGUGAGAUGUUCGGUUAAGUCCGCUAACGAGCGCAACCCUCACUGUGUGUUACAUGUGUCGCACGGGACUGCCGGUUUUAAGCCGGAGGAAGGCGGGGAUGACGUCAAGUCAGCAUGGCCUUUAUAUCUUGGGCUACACACACGCUACAAUGGUCUGUACAAUAGGUUGCCAAGCCGCGAGGGGGAGCCAAUCCCAUAAAGCCAUUCGUAGUCCGGAUCGCAGUCUGCAACUCGAUUGCGUGAAGUCGGAAUCGCUAGUAAUCGUGGAUCAGAAUGUCACGGUGAAUACGUUCCCGGGUCUU